RNAcentral lists this long non-coding RNA (2495 nucleotides) under Equus asinus (donkey). Its description in RNAcentral is "lncRNA (ENSEASG00005027286.1)". Lineage: Eukaryota; Metazoa; Chordata; Mammalia; Perissodactyla; Equidae. The record is from RNAcentral.
GAUACACUUAUCUGGGUUAUAGCUUCACUGUGGCUGCUGUCAUUUGAGAAUAUCUUGGUAAGGUUAACCUGCUUGUUCAACCUUAAAACAAAGUUUUAUUCACCUGAGGCCACACGCUAGCCUAGUUUAGCUUAAGUCAGACCCAUUCCAAUCCCAGACCUGGUCUGGUUUCUAAGUCAGAACUAGUCUGACCCCAGACUCAGCCUAGUUUCUAAAUCAAAACCAGUCUGACCCUGGACCCCGUCCAGUUUUUAAGUCGGAACCAGUCUGACCCUGGACCCAGUCCUACUCUGGCAAGUUUCUGGACCCAGUCUGGCAAAAGAAUCCUCAAAUAAAGUCUUAAAGCUCGUCAUGAAAGACUAUAGAGCUAAGAACCGACAGGGACUUAACCAUGACCUCCAGAAGCAGCAAGAAAGCAGCCAGAUCACGGGACUCAGCAGGUGAGGGUGUAAUGAGAAGGUGGCUGCUACAACCAGGAAGAGGGUCCUCACCACAACCCGACCAUGGUGGUAUCCUGAUCUCAGACUUCCAGUCUCCAAAACGAGUGAUGGCCCUGCUAUACAGACCUGUUGUAAGAAAAUGCACUAUGAAAUAUUGAAUCUCCAUUUUAUUUACAGAUUUCCUGCUGAAUCUCUCUGUGGGGGCCAGAGUGAACGUUUUCCACACAGAGAAAGCGGGUGUGCCAGUCGUUAAUGUGUUAUCUCUCAGCUUCGAAAUAACCUUGCGUUGCCCUGCUUGGUGAUGCUGGAGCUGGGCCCUGUAGACAUUUCUCCUUCGCCAGCUGGCUGGCUGUUAGGCUUUGGGAACAGAGGGUGCUGGAGCACCACUUCAGGGCCAAACAGGAGGAAGGCAUUUCCCUUCCUGUUCCUAGCCCUGGCACCAGCAGGUCAAAGUGGAGAGGGCCUGGAAGUGCUCACCUCAGCAUCCUGCCUGGACCUGCUCCGCUAGCCUGCAAGUUUCCCACUACCCAGGGCCAUUGCUGUGGAUCAGCCCCCAUCUGCAAUCUCUGUCCAGGUUUUCCAGAAAGCAGACCUGAGGCAAGACUCCUGUGCUCGACUUUGUCAGUGAGUGCGACCACAGGAGCCAGAGAAAAGGACAGAGAGAGUCCAGCGGGGAAGGAGAGGAACCGGGGGCAAAGACGCCUUAGCGAGCUGGCUGCCUCCAAGUGUGACUGAGGCUCAGCCCCGCCAAACCGCCCAGACGUGCCUCACGCUCUCCCCUGGCUCCAGGGGAAAUUUCUCCUGUUGGUCAGAGAGAUGAUGAAAAAGAAUGCAGAAGAGAUGAGAUGUGAGAAGGACUUCACCACCAUUGCCGGCUUUGAAGAUGAAGGGGUCCAUGAGCCAAAGAAUGUGGGAUGGCCUCUAGAAGCUGAGAACAACAUGAGGCCAACAGCCAGCAAGGAGACUUCAGCUGGAGACUUCAGCACUACAACUGCAUGGAACUAAGUUCUGCCAACAACCUGCAUGCAGCAGGGAGCAUCCGCUCCCCCAGGGCCGUCAGUAAGGAAAGCUGUCCUGGCACCUUGGUUCUAGCCUGGUAAGACCCGUAUGUACUUCUGACCUAUAAAACUGUAAGAUGAUAAAUUUGUGUUGUUUUAAGCUGUUAAAUUUGUGGUCAUGUGUUAUGACAGCAAUAGAAAACUAAUACAAAAGUAUGUGUGCUUUCCAGUUGUGUGCAGUGUUUUAUAUUUAUCCAUUAGAUGAAGUUUGUUAAUUAUGUUUAGAUCAACUGUAUCCUUACUCAUUAUCUGUCUUAUGAAUAAUUGUGAAAGAUAAAGGUGGAUUUUUUUCAGUUUCUCUUUAUAGAUCUGUUAAUUUUUGCUUUAUGUGUUUUGAAGCCAUGUUAAGUAUUAGUCAUUAAGAAUUGUUAUAGUGAUAAUUGUCAUAUUUGUAACCCACUCUGAAAAUCUUUGUCAUUUAAAAGCGUAGUUUAGUUUGUUAAAUUCAUUGAAGUUAGUGAGACAUUUGGAUUCCUCUAUGCUCCCUUAGUUUGUGGUUUUCAUUUGUCCUUCCUGUUCUACUUCUCUUUUUUCUCCUUUCUUGCCUUUUUUUAGGUUUGAUCAUAUUUCUCUUUCCCUCAUUCUCUUUUUACUCUCUCCAAAGUCGUGAGUUUUAUACUCUAUUGCUAUACUUUUACUGACUACCUUAAACAUUUUAAUAUAAGUAAUUAAUGUUUUUAAAUACAAAGUUAAUAUUUCUUCUUAAAACAAUAAAAGGAACUUAGACCAUUUUAAUUCUGAUCACCCCAUGCUAACUUCUUUGCUAUUUUCUUUCAAUAUUUUAGUUAUAUCUCAUUUUCAUCAAUCCCACAAAUUAGACAAUUAUUGUUUUAUAAAGUGAAUUUUCACUUAGUUCUACAUACAUAUUUAUCAAGUUCUGUGCUUAUGUUUUAUCCUUGAAUAUUAAAUUUUCAUUUGGGAUCAUUUUUCUUCUGCCUGAAGAAUAUCACUUAGAAUUUCCUUUCAUGUUGGUAUUUUGACAGAAAACUCUGUUUUU